AACGAACGCUGGCGGCAUGCCUAACACAUGCAAGUCGAACGAAACCUUCCGGUCUAUUGGCGCUCGUGUGCGUACCGCGUGGUAACCUGCCCUUAGGUUCCCAAUCCCUCCCCGUAGGGGGUGCUAAUACCAGUUAAUCUCUUCCCGCCAAGGAUUUCUUGCCUUUGGGUGGGCCCGCGUUGGAUUAGCUAGUUGGUAGUGUACAAGCCUAACAAGGAGACGAUCCAUAGCUGGGCUGAGAGGAGGAUCAGCCACACUGGGACUGAGACACGGACCAGACUGGUACGGGAGGGAGGAGUGGGGAAUAUAGGACAAGGGGCGAAAGUCUGAGACAGCAAUGCGGGGGGAGAGAUGAAGGCGGUAGGGUUGUAAAGAUCUUUGACACGGGAUGAGAAUGACAGUACCGGGAGAAUAAGCACCGGCUAACUACGUG
Molecule: ribosomal RNA, 433 nt
Filed under: uncultured bacterium
Lineage: Bacteria
Description: partial 16S ribosomal RNA
Rfam family: Bacterial small subunit ribosomal RNA
Source: RNAcentral